CCCUAAAGCACCUGCCACCAGUGCUACCUGCAAGGAACUUGAGCAGAUCCACAGUGCUGCACCCUUGCAAUGAUUGUAUUGUCAACCCUACCUUAGGUGAUGGAAGAGACCUCUAAUGAGUGCAAGAAUGGAGACUCAGGGCUCAUUACGUUGCAUCUGUGUGUGGGCUAGGAUGGGUGGGGGCACUGGUUAAAACCUUUGUAGGCUUAAGAGAGGGCUUCCAGCUUGAGCUGCUCCCUGCAAGGCUCCCCACUGACUGCUGAAAAUGAGUUCUGCAGUUGAGGUCUGCCCUUGCUGAGUGGAGACAGUUUGCUGCUUGUUUUUCCAUGGGUUUUGCUCUCAUUUCCUUGAUGUCUGGGCUUAUCUAUUUCUGUGCUGUCCCGCCUCUGGAGUUGCCAGCCCCUGAGUCACUUCCUUUUUUCAGCCCUUUCUUUUCUCUUUACUCCCUCUAGAUGAAGUGUUUUACAAGCUGCACUGUGUGUCUGAGGCAUGACUCAUCUGCACCUGGCUUGUAGCUUAAAGGUACAUGAGAUGCUAACUGCUACAGCCAUGGUCCAGCCAGGUUUGCUGACAAGUUAGUCCAGGUUUUGUUAAAUUCUGAGUGGUUCCAAGACAGAAGCCAGGAUCUAGGACACUACACUAUGCCUGUUAUUUCUAUCUCAGACUCCUCUCCUUAUGGCUGACCCAGUUUUGCUAUGGGCAUGACAAGUUCCCCUUUUAUAGCUGGAUUAAGACCAGGACACCUGUCUGGCAGCACCUGGUGGAAGCAGCUUUCCUCCAACCUGAUCUGCCUCUGGCUGUACUUGCUAUGUAUAGAGAAGGCAAGAGCAGUGGCCAAGCCCAAGUUAGUGACAGCAUGUUCUUCGCUCUCCAUAAGACUCCUCCAAGGAAUUGCAGCCAGAGCUACUACAGUCAUGCUGAGUUGCUCACUCAGGUGUUUUGACUGCUUUUGCUGUACUUAUUAAUGAGAACCAGAAUCGGGGGCAGGCUGAUCCAUGGGGAACUGCACUGGCACACAUUUGGGGUCAGCUCACCUGUUCCUGUGGACUCAGUGCUAGGUCAGGUCUGUUAUUAGUCUGAGACUAUGGCAUCUUCCUCUGGAGCAGGUCAGAAAUGCAGAGCACCACAAAGCCCACCAGCAUAAUUUCAUUGGGCUGUUGAUUUUCUCUAUCCACAUGUUGUAGGUGGUUAAAGGGACUGUGCUGCUUGUCAAGCACGACUCUGGCCUGGGAACUGGGUAAGACCUGUGCUUCAGGGUCUGAAAUGUGAGCUCAUCUCCUAGGGAGGUUUGCCUUUGUAGGCUGAGUACACUUCACCCCUGCCACACUUGCCUCUUCCUCUAGCUCCUUCCAAGGCCAAACAACUCAUGUCCCCCAUCUCCUGGGCACCCAUGACUCUCUUCCAAUAACACAGACACCCUGAUUGCUUGUUUGACAGGAGUGUUAUUUCUCUGUAGGCUGCUGUUAAAUGUUUGUCUAGAGGGGCCAAGGGAGGCUGAGAUCCAGCGGAGAGGCCUUGUAGGGACCAGGUGCAGCUGCAACCAGGAUGUGCUUAGCAGCUUAGGUGGGUGAAGCAGGAGUGUUAGUAGCAAAG
Molecule: long non-coding RNA, 1593 nt
Organism: Gavialis gangeticus (Gharial)
Lineage: Eukaryota; Metazoa; Chordata; Crocodylia; Gavialidae
Exons: 2
Source: RefSeq, a predicted model, not a curated record